AUUGAACGCUGGCGGCAGGCCUAAGACAUGCAAGUCGAGCGAGAAAGUACUUCGGUACGAGUACAGCGGCGGACGGGUGAGUAACGCGUAGGAAUCUACCUAGUAGUGGGGGACAACUCGUGGAAACGCGAGCUAAUACCGCAUACGCCCUACGGGGGAAAGCGGGGGAUCUUCGGACCUCGUGCUAUUAGAUGAGCCUGCGUAAGAUUAGCUAGUUGGUGGGGUAAAGGCCUACCAAGGCGACGAUCUUUAGCUGGUCUGAGAGGAUGAUCAGCCACACCGGGACUGAGACACGGCCCGGACUCCUACGGGAGGCAGCAGUCGGGAAUAUUGCGCAAUGGGCGAAAGCCUGACGCAGCCAUGCCGCGUGUGUGAAGAAGGCCCUAGGGUUGUAAAGCACUUUCAAUUGGGAGGAAAAGCUAAUGGUUAAUAGCCAUUAGCCCUGACGUUACCUUUAGAAGAAGCACCGGCUAACUCCGUGCCAGCAGCCGCGGUAAUACGGAGGGUGCAAGCGUUAAUCGGAAUUACUGGGCGUAAAGCGCGCGUAGGCGGCUCUUUAAGUCGGAUGUGAAAGCCCCGGGCUCAACCUGGGAACUGCAUCCGAUACUGGGGAGCUAGAGUGUAGGAGAGGGAGGUAGAAUUCCAUGUGUAGCAGUGAAAUGCGUAGAUAUAUGGAGGAAUACCAGUGGCGAAGGCGGCCUCCUGGCUUAACACUGACGCCUGAG
RNAcentral lists this ribosomal RNA (725 nucleotides) under bacterium IMCC7873. Its description in RNAcentral is "bacterial SSU rRNA". It matches the Rfam family "Bacterial small subunit ribosomal RNA", at positions 28 to 751 of the family's 1533-position model. The record is from RNAcentral.